CACACUAUCAUUAACUGAAUCCAUAGGUUAAUGAGGCGAACCGGGGGAACUGAAACAUCUAAGUACCCCGAGGAAAAGAAAUCAACCGAGAUUCCCCCAGUAGCGGCGAGCGAACGGGGAGGAGCCCAGAGCCUGAAUCAGUGUGUGUGUUAGUGGAAGCGUCUGGAAAGGCGCGCGAUACAGGGUGACAGCCCCGUACACAAAAAUGCACAUGCUGUGAGCUCGAUGAGUAGGGCGGGACACGUGGUAUCCUGUCUGAAUAUGGGGGGACCAUCCUCCAAGGCUAAAUACUCCUGACUGACCGAUAGUGAACCAGUACCGUGAGGGAAAGGCGAAAAGAACCCCGGCGAGGGGAGUGAAAAAGAACCUGAAACCGUGUACGUACAAGCAGUGGGAGCACAGAGCAAUCUGUGUGACUGCGUACCUUUUGUAUAAUGGGUCAGCGACUUAUAUUCUGUAGCAAGGUUAACCGAAUAGGGGAGCCGAAGGGAAACCGAGUCUUAACUGGGCGUUAAGUUGCAGGGUAUAGACCCGAAACCCGGUGAUCUAGCCAUGGGCAGGUUGAAGGUUGGGUAACACUAACUGGAGGACCGAACCGACUAAUGUUGAAAAAUUAGCGGAUGACUUGUGGCUGGGGGUGAAAGGCCAAUCAAACCGGGAGAUAGCUGGUUCUCCCCGAAAGCUAUUUAGGUAGCGCCUCGUGAAUUCAUCUCCGGGGGUAGAGCACUGUUUCGGCAAGGGGGUCAUCCCGACUUACCAACCCGAUGCAAACUGCGAAUACCGGAGAAUGUUAUCACGGGAGACACACGGCGGGUGCUAACGUCCGUCGUGAAGAGGGAAACAACCCAGACCGCCAGCUAAGGUCCCAAAGUCAUGGUUAAGUGGGAAACGAUGUGGGAAGGCCCAGACAGCCAGGAUGUUGGCUUAGAAGCAGCCAUCAUUUAAAGAAAGCGUAAUAGCUCACUGGUCGAGUCGGCCUGCGCGGAAGAUGUAACGGGGCUAAACCAUGCACCGAAGCUGCGGCAGCGACACUGUGUGUUGUUGGGUAGGGGAGCGUUCUGUAAGCCUGUGAAGGUGUGCUGUGAGGCAUGCUGGAGGUAUCAGAAGUGCGAAUGCUGACAUAAGUAACGAUAAAGCGGGUGAAAAGCCCGCUCGCCGGAAGACCAAGGGUUCCUGUCCAACGUUAAUCGGGGCAGGGUGAGUCGACCCCUAAGGCGAGGCCGAAAGGCGUAGUCGAUGGGAAACAGGUUAAUAUUCCUGUACUUGGUGUUACUGCGAAGGGGGGACGGAGAAGGCUAUGUUGGCCGGGCGACGGUUGUCCCGGUUUAAGCGUGUAGGCUGGUUUUCCAGGCAAAUCCGGAAAAUCAAGGCUGAGGCGUGAUGACGAGGCACUACGGUGCUGAAGCAACAAAUGCCCUGCUUCCAGGAAAAGCCUCUAAGCAUCAGGUAACAUCAAAUCGUACCCCAAACCGACACAGGUGGUCAGGUAGAGAAUACCAAGGCGCUUGAGAGAACUCGGGUGAAGGAACUAGGCAAAAUGGUGCCGUAACUUCGGGAGAAGGCACGCUGAUAUGUAGGUGAAGUCCCUCGCGGAUGGAGCUGAAAUCAGUCGAAGAUACCAGCUGGCUGCAACUGUUUAUUAAAAACACAGCACUGUGCAAACACGAAAGUGGACGUAUACGGUGUGACGCCUGCCCGGUGCCGGAAGGUUAAUUGAUGGGGUCAGCGCAAGCGAAGCUCUUGAUCGAAGCCCCGGUAAACGGCGGCCGUAACUAUAACGGUCCUAAGGUAGCGAAAUUCCUUGUCGGGUAAGUUCCGACCUGCACGAAUGGCGUAAUGAUGGCCAGGCUGUCUCCACCCGAGACUCAGUGAAAUUGAACUCGCUGUGAAGAUGCAGUGUACCCGCGGCAAGACGGAAAGACCCCGUGAACCUUUACUAUAGCUUGACACUGAACAUUGAGCCUUGAUGUGUAGGAUAGGUGGGAGGCUUUGAAGUGUGGACGCCAGUCUGCAUGGAGCCGACCUUGAAAUACCACCCUUUAAUGUUUGAUGUUCUAACGUGGACCCGUGAUCCGGGUUGCGGACAGUGUCUGGUGGGUAGUUUGACUGGGGCGGUCUCCUCCUAAAGAGUAACGGAGGAGCACGAAGGUUGGCUAAUCCUGGUCGGACAUCAGGAGGUUAGUGCAAUGGCAUAAGCCAGCUUGACUGCGAGCGUGACGGCGCGAGCAGGUGCGAAAGCAGGUCAUAGUGAUCCGGUGGUUCUGAAUGGAAGGGCCAUCGCUCAACGGAUAAAAGGUACUCCGGGGAUAACAGGCUGAUACCGCCCAAGAGUUCAUAUCGACGGCGGUGUUUGGCACCUCGAUGUCGGCUCAUCACAUCCUGGGGCUGAAGUAGGUCCCAAGGGUAUGGCUGUUCGCCAUUUAAAGUGGUACGCGAGCUGGGUUUAGAACGUCGUGAGACAGUUCGGUCCCUAUCUGCCGUGGGCGCUGGAGAACUGAGGGGGGCUGCUCCUAGUACGAGAGGACCGGAGUGGACGCAUCACUGGUGUUCGGGUUGUCAUGCCAAUGGCACUGCCCGGUAGCUAAAUGCGGAAGAGAUAAGUGCUGAAAGCAUCUAAGCACGAAACUUGCCCCGAGAUGAGUUCUCCCUGACCCUUUAAGGGUCCUGAAGGAACGUUGAAGACGACGACGUUGAUAGGCCGGGUGUGUAAGCGCAGCGAUGCGUUGAGCUAACCGGUACUAAUGAACCGUGAGGCUUAACCUU
RNAcentral lists this ribosomal RNA (2763 nucleotides) under Escherichia coli. Its description in RNAcentral is "partial 23S ribosomal RNA". It matches the Rfam family "Bacterial large subunit ribosomal RNA". The record is from RNAcentral. Lineage: Bacteria; Pseudomonadati; Pseudomonadota; Gammaproteobacteria; Enterobacterales; Enterobacteriaceae.